Molecule: ribosomal RNA, 200 nt
Filed under: uncultured eukaryote
Lineage: Eukaryota
Description: partial 18S ribosomal RNA
Source: RNAcentral
CUCCAAUAGCGUAUACUAAAAGUUGUUGCAGUUAAAAAAGCUCGUAGUUGAAUUUCUGGUCUCGGACAUCGGUCUGCCUCGAACGAGGUACGUACCAGUUGUCUGAAUCCAUCCUCGGGGGAAAACAUGUCUGUCAUUCAGUUGAUGGGCAUGGGGAUCCUCGUCAUUUACUGUGAGCAAAAAUAGAGUGUUCAAAAGCA